GACGAACCGUGCGAACGUUAUUCGGAUUCACUGGGCUUAAAGGGCGCGUAGGCGGGUGGCCAAGUCAGAGGUGAAAUCUUUCGGCUCAACCGGAAAAGUGCCCCUGAUACUGGCCGUCUUGAGGGAGGUAGGGGCAUGUGGAACUUCCGGUGGAGCGGUGAAAUGCGUAGAUAUCGGAAGGAACGCCGGUGGCGAAAGCGACGUGCUGGACCUUCACUGACGCUGAGGCGCGAAAGCCAGGGGAGCAAACGGG
RNAcentral lists this ribosomal RNA (253 nucleotides) under uncultured bacterium. Its description in RNAcentral is "partial 16S ribosomal RNA". It matches the Rfam family "Bacterial small subunit ribosomal RNA", at positions 524 to 776 of the family's 1533-position model. The record is from RNAcentral.